Molecule: long non-coding RNA, 798 nt
Filed under: Apteryx owenii (little spotted kiwi)
Lineage: Eukaryota; Metazoa; Chordata; Aves; Apterygiformes; Apterygidae
Description: lncRNA (ENSAOWG00000004278.1)
Source: RNAcentral
GCAUCGUCUCUUUGUGACAGCUGCCCUUACUGCCUGGACUCCUCCUGUGUGUGCACCAUGGAAGCAGUGGGCCUAUAUAUUUUCAUUAUGGAAAGGGAAUGUAAUUGCUCAGUGUGAUACCAGUGAAACUAGACAGGAACCCAUGCUCAGACUACAUCCAUGGACAAUUACAAUGCAAACUAUUGUGAUCACUACCAGAUCUCGGACAAAAUGUUGAAACAAACUGAAAUCUAAAUCCUACUACUUUUAUAGAAUUACUGGAGCGAUGCACUCCAUUUCUGCCUCUCUGAUCUGCUGACUCAUUCAUUUCCUCUUACCAGUGAAGAUAAGAAGAAGACUGCUGGCCUGAAAACAAGCAGUUGAAGGUCUGGUAUGAGCACCUGGCCAGCUUGCCUUCAGUGCACAGACACAGAUAAAACCUGGCUGUUUUGUCUUCGGUCUUCUUUGAGGAUUUCCACUGUAGACAGCUCAGCAUCCUGUCAAAACACCCAAGCCAGAUAAAAAUCAAACAAAACAGAGAUUAUUGUGAGGAAUGUAUCUUCCUGUUGAAGAUGCUUAUCAGCCAUUUGUUUUUUAUUUGACCAAUGAAUAGUCUGAUUUGAUUCCCAGUUAUUCCUUGAUUGUCUUAGAAGUAGCCAGAACAUCUUUCUUUUAUAUGUGGCCAAGAGGAUGCAAUCUUCAUUCAUAGGUGCAAACAUCCAUAUUAUGAUCUAUGUAAACUCUACUUAUUAAGUCUAUUAAAAUAAUUUUGUUGGUGCAGAGAAAAGGGUUCCAUCUGUUCACUGGAGGAAUGUCAAG